UACAGAGGUCCCGAGCGUUGUUCGGAUUCACUGGGCGUAAAGGGCGCGUAGGUGGCUUGGUAAGCGUGUGGUGAAAGUCCGGGGCUCAACCCCGGAUCUGCCAUGCGAACUGCCGAGCUCGAGCAUUGUAGAGGCAGGUGGAAUUUCGGGUGUAGCGGUGGAAUGCGUAGAUAUCCGAAAGAACACCGGUGGCGAAGGCGGCCUGCUGGGCAAUUGCUGACACUGAGGCGCGACAGCGUGGGGAGCAAACGGG
Molecule: ribosomal RNA, 253 nt
Filed under: uncultured prokaryote
Description: partial 16S ribosomal RNA
Rfam family: Bacterial small subunit ribosomal RNA
Source: RNAcentral